This 515-nucleotide ribosomal RNA is filed under the name uncultured bacterium. RNAcentral describes it as "partial 16S ribosomal RNA". It matches the Rfam family "Bacterial small subunit ribosomal RNA", at positions 28 to 523 of the family's 1533-position model. The record is from RNAcentral.
GAUGAACGCUGGCGGCGUGCCUAAUACAUGCAAGUCGAGCGAAUGGAUUAAGAGCUUGCUCUUAUGAAGUUAGCGGCGGACGGGUGAGUAACACGUGGGUAACCUGCCCAUAAGACUGGGAUAACUCCGGGAAACCGGGGCUAAUACCGGAUAACAUUUUGAACCGCAUGGUUCGAAAUUGAAAGGCGGAUUCGGCUGUCACUUAUGGAUGGACCCGCGUCGCAUUAGCUAGUUGGUGAGGUAACGGCUCACCAAGGCAACGAUGCGUAGCCGACCUGAGAGGGUGAUCGACCACACUGGGACUGAUACACGGCCCAGACUCCGACGGGAGGCAGCAGUAGAGAAUCUUCCGCAAUGGACGAAAGUCGUACGGAGCAACGCCGCGAGGGUGAUGAAGGCUUUCUGGUCGUAAAACUCUGUUGUUAGGGAAGAACAAGUGCUAGUUGAAUAAGCUGGCACCUUGACGGUACCUAACCAGAAAGCCACGGCUAACUACGUGCCAGCCGCCGCGGUAA